UGCCUUCGGGAACUCUGAGACAGGUGCUGCAUGGCUGUCGUCAGCUCGUGUUGUGAAAUGUUGGGUUAAGUCCCGCAACGAGCGCAACCCUUAUCCUUUGUUGCCAGCGGUUAGGCCGGGAACUCAAAGGAGACUGCCAGUGAUAAACUGGAGGAAGGUGGGGAUGACGUCAAGUCAUCAUGGCCCUUACGAGUAGGGCUACACACGUGCUACAAUGGCGCAUACAAAGAGAAGCGACCUCGCGAGAGCAAGCGGACCUCAUAAAGUGCGUCGUAGUCCGGAUUGGAGUCUGCAACUCGACUCCAUGAAGUCGGAAUCGCUAGUAAUCGUGGAUCAGAAUGCCACGGUGAAUACGUUCCCGGGCCUUGUACACACCGCCCGUCACACCAUGGGAGUGGGUUGCAAAAGAAGUAGGUAGCUUAACCUUCGGGAGGGCGCUUACCACUUUGUGAUUCAUGACUGGGGUGAAGUCGUAACAAGGUAAGCGUAGUGCU
This 494-nucleotide ribosomal RNA is filed under the name uncultured bacterium. RNAcentral describes it as "bacterial SSU rRNA". It matches the Rfam family "Bacterial small subunit ribosomal RNA", at positions 1014 to 1509 of the family's 1533-position model. The record is from RNAcentral.